GUGAUGUGGCUCAGAGGUACAGCACUUGACUAGCAUGUGUGAGGUCCUGGGUCCAAUUCUCAGUACACA
RNAcentral lists this transfer RNA (69 nucleotides) under Marmota monax (woodchuck). RNAcentral's name for it is "tRNA.Ala". Lineage: Eukaryota; Metazoa; Chordata; Mammalia; Rodentia; Sciuridae. The record is from RNAcentral.